RNAcentral lists this ribosomal RNA (274 nucleotides) under uncultured bacterium. RNAcentral describes it as "partial 16S ribosomal RNA". It matches the Rfam family "Bacterial small subunit ribosomal RNA", at positions 523 to 796 of the family's 1533-position model. The record is from RNAcentral.
AUACGGAGGGUGCAAGCGUUAUUCGGAAUCACUGGGCGUAAAGGACGCGUAGGCGGGUGGGCAAGUCAGAUGUGAAAUCCUACAGCUUAACUGUAGAACUGCAUUUGAAACUGCUAACCUAGAGUAUGGGAGGGGGAGAUGGAAUUAGUGGUGUAGGGGUAAAAUCCGUAGAUAUCACUAGGAAUACCGAAAGCGAAGGCGAUCUCCUGGAACAUAACUGACGCUAAGGCGUGAAAGCGUGGGGAGCAAACAGGAUUAGAAACCCCAGUAGUCC